GUCCUCCUUCGGGCGGAUUCCGUCUGAAAGACAUGGGUAGUGAGAUGUUCUCACGCUAUCGCGUCUCACUAUCUUGUCUUUCAUCCGGCGUUCGUUCUGC
Molecule: non-coding RNA, 100 nt
Organism: Apis mellifera (honey bee)
Lineage: Eukaryota; Metazoa; Arthropoda; Insecta; Hymenoptera; Apidae
Gene: Mir71
Product: microRNA 71
Exons: 1
Source: RefSeq, marked provisional